This 253-nucleotide ribosomal RNA is filed under the name uncultured bacterium. RNAcentral's name for it is "partial 16S ribosomal RNA". It matches the Rfam family "Bacterial small subunit ribosomal RNA", at positions 524 to 776 of the family's 1533-position model. The record is from RNAcentral.
UACGUAGGUGGCGAGCGUUUUCCGGAAUUACUGGGUGUAAAGGGCGUGUAGGCGGGAAUGCAAGUUGGAUGUGAAAUUCCGGGGCUUAACCUCGGCGCUGCAUCCGAAACUGCAUUUCUUGAGUGCUGGAGAGGAAAGCGGAAUUCCUAGUGUAGCGGUGAAAUGCGUAGAUAUUAGGAGGAACACCAGUGGCGAAGGCGGCUUUCUGGACAGUAACUGACGCUGAGGCGCGAAAGCGUGGGGAGCAAACAGG